Molecule: long non-coding RNA, 4860 nt
Filed under: Brassica napus (rape)
Lineage: Eukaryota; Viridiplantae; Streptophyta; Magnoliopsida; Brassicales; Brassicaceae
Description: long non-coding RNA (BNAP_LNC010090)
Source: RNAcentral
CUAUGAGUAUCUACGACUCGAUCUAACUCGUAACACCGUAUAUCGGUGUUACGCUAACUCGAGGGUUUCAUAACCCUCUACGACACUCUAACACAACACUCUAACCUGAGCCCUGGUGACUUAGUGUUCCUCCUCUAUCCUCGGCAAUAUCCUAUCUUCCUACCACAAAGGCCAGAAGAAGGAACUUUCAACCGAACGCGGCCCACAGUACGUUCGGGUCACCGCGCGACAGCCCCAGUACGUUCGGGACACUGCCGGUUGUCACACGACGAUUGCGGCCCACAGUACGUUCGGGUCACCGCAAGACAGCCCACAGUACGUUCGGGUCACUGCCGGUCACUACCCCGUCGUGCAACCACUCAGCCAUAGGCCAUGACCCCGUCUCUCUGAGUGUUCUCGAUCCAACGAACAAGGGGUUUCCUUAAACCCACUGGGUACGAGGUCGAGGAAACACUAAUCCACCUCAAACAUGCCUAGCAUUGUGGGUUACACAAAUGCUAUAUGGCCAAUACACUCUAACUCUACAACACUAACAACAAUAUCAUCACUAAACAACUCAACCAGUUAGUCACUCCCUUACCAAGAGCUGACUAACCUCAAUCAACAAGCAUUAAUUAACAAGCAAGCAUUUAAUUAAAUCUACUCAAUCAAACCGUUACCCAGAUAGUUCGGCCUCCUGCUACGACACUAUCUUUAAAGAUAACGGGAACCUGCACUCAACCAUACCAACACGCAAGAAUAGAAAACAUGAUGCAUCCUAUUCUUAGUCCUAAUCAGGUUAUCAACUCAGUCUUAAUUCAAUUCAUCUCAGCUUAGCCCUUGCUAAACUGAGUCCGGUUCCAUAAAUAAAAAUAACCCUAGGACUCUAUCAUGCAUUAGUGUGAUAUUACUACUCUAUAUGCAGACUCGAUCUACCCUAAAUUCCAAGUGGAAUUCAAACAAACCAACUCACAAAACUACCCUAAAUUCCAAGUGGAAUUCACACAAGCCAACUCACAGUGUUCUAGGCGAGAAGCUGCUGGUUGAUCGAAGAGGACUUGGCCAAAACCCAAGGGACACCUUGACUGGACUGGACUAAACUGACCUCGACUUGGACAGACCCUCAGCUUGAUCAUGAAGACACUAACAGGUCUGGACGGCCUGAUCUGGACAGAACCUCCUUUAGCUCUUGGACAGUUCUUCGGACUUCCCGGCGGAGUAUCGAGCAGAACUUCGACUGAUCUGAACCCGUGGUUCUGAACUAACUCUGGGCAGCACCUCCACUUGACCAUCAUAGAAUAUGACUGGCUUGGACGAAUUGAAUUGGACAGAGCUUCCGCGUCACAAUCGUAAAGAAUCGACGAUUGGACGGAACUGGCCUUCUCGGUGGAGUAUCGGUCUUCAGAAUCGACCAUACUCUAGAUCGACCACUUUCUUUAUCUCUCUCUCUCCAUAGACACGUUGACUUGCUUCCCAUCUGAAUUGAUAUUCAAUUGGUUGAUCUUCAGUUGGCCAGAACCUUCCCUAGGCGCUGACUUGAAAUCAGUAGAAUAACUGUUCUCGAAAACUGCCGAAAAGACUCGAAAACGAUCGAACUCGAACUUUCUUUCUCUAGCUUUCUCUCUCACGUUUUUCUCUGAGUUUCAGGUGUGCUGGAUGGUUUGAAAUGAGCUGGGGUCGUGGGGUAUUUAUAGGAGACACCAGCCAAUCAGCUUCAGGUUGGUGGCAGCCCGUGUGUCGCUCUGCAUGGCUCCGGACGCAUGCACGGCGACACCUCGGGCUCCACAUGGCUGGCUGCAUGUCCAGGACACAUGCAGGACUCCACCACUCCUCCCAGAUGUCAGGCUGCAUGACUGGAGCUCAUGCAAGGCGCCACACAUCCUCACACAUGUUGAUCAGCAUGCUUCGGUUGCAUGCGUCGCGACAUCUCGUGCUUGGCCAAUCCACUUCGUGCUUCUACAUGUCAAGCUGCAUGUGCAGCUUCCAUGCACGGCGACACCUUGAGCUUCUCUUGACACUCAGCUGGUUAGACAGUUGCCACCACGUUCAUAUCCCUUAGAUUAAGCCACCUCGAGCUUCUCGGUUCCUUUGCGCGAUUUAGACCCUUCUUGUGAAUUUCUGACCCGCAAUCAAUCCCGAAUAUUUUUCCCCUCCCAUUCUGAUUCUCUGAAUAUUUUUAAUAAACUACAGAUGAUGUCUGAUAUCCUUUAAAAAUAUUUCCCGAGCCUCCAGCUUCCUCAAAGAAUUUCGUAAUACCGAAAUUAGGGUUUUCGCCCAACUCCGGGUUUUCCUGUCGUUCUUCAAUCCUGUCGUGCUUGCUUCCCGUCGUGCUUGCUUCCCGUCCUGCUUAAUUCCCGUCCUGCUUCCGACUUAUAAUUUCUUCAGAAUAAUAUUUUACUGAUACGAAGAUAUUCCGAGAAAACUUCGCGAUGAAGAAACGUCAAUCUUCCAAAACGUCGAGCUUCUAAACCGUCGUGCUUCAAAAAUGUAAUUCUUCCAAAACUGCCGUAUGAUCAAUCUAAGACAUUUCUAACAAUGGUAGAGCAGCUUAUCUCAACUCAUGCUUCACUCACGAUCCAUUCUUCGACCUUCUCGUACUUCAAAUUUCCCGAUCGAUCUGUAUUGCCCGCGACUCAACCACAAAGAUACUCGACCAUUCUCUCUCUCUUUUUUUUUUUUAACGGGUUUCUACAUUCUCCCCCCCUUAAUAGAAUUCGUCCUCGAAUUCUUAGUUGCGCAAUUGCUCGUCUUCACAACAUUCUCCACUUGUUUCCAUAACCUCUUUACUCUGUCCACCACGGUUCCUUGAGUGUCCUCUUCAAGGUCUCGACAAUGGUCUUCAUAUCUCUUGACUGAGUCGUCCUCUUCCUCUUAUUCUGCCAUAACACCUUGAUUGUCCAUGAUACUAUCUUGUCCCGAUUCCACAAAUCCUUUCUCGAUCUUCGUCUUCCCAACUACUGAUGAAGUCCUUUCCCAACGAAGUUUUGUUUACUCCCAUCUGUCCAGUCCAUACCACAGCCCAGUCCCUCUGAACCUGUCUCUCCUCUCUUUGCUUCGGGUUUGGGUUUGGCCUCGAACUCCCUCCACUUUAAAGUUUCAUCCCUUAAAGUUCCGAUCAACAAACAUACUUACUCGCUGCAACUCAAAAGAACACUAAACAUGCAAGUUAGUAAUUAAUCACAUAAUCUACUAACCUAGCAAAUACUAACAAUGCAACCUAACCGCAAUUCUAACCAGCAACCUAGCAGUUCUACCCAAGCAACCUAACAGUUCUAGAUUCCACUAUCUCAAUCCUAAUUCCUAAAACAAUAAUCCUAAGCUGGACGUGACCGGUUUACCUAAUGCCUUUUGUGACUCUUUUUGACUCGAAAAAUAUUUGAAAACCGAUUAAAUCAUGAGUUCCGGAAGCAUGGACGAAACCAUGCUCUGAUACCACCUCUGUAACACCCCCGAACCGUCCUAGACAUAUGGUCGAUCAACCGGCCAACAAUCAAACAAGAACAUGACCGAUCGACCGUACAAUACCCAGGGUUGGAGAUGAAAGGCCAACCGGCCAGCCAACAAUCAAACAAGAACAUGACUGACCGUCCAACCCAACACCAUGGUCCGGAAGCGCUACGUGACGGGCUAGGGACAAUCCGGUCAGAGUCACAAACUUUACUCCACGACCUAGACCAGUUCAUCCACUAACUUGUCCCGCUGCAUCAAGGCAUAAGGCUUUGCAACCCGUACCUAGAGUUAGCGUUUUCCGUUAGAUCGAGGCCUAAGGCUUUUCAACCCGUACUACGACCUAACGUUGUGUUAGACCGGACUAGUCAAAUAUCAGAGUACUCAUGAAGCGCAUAUAAAACAAUUACUUUAUUGAUUCGAGAAAUAUCCAUACAUUGAUAUAAUUCGAGACCGGUCCCGGCCUAAUGCCAAAUCGAGUCAACUAAACGCAAAUCCACAAUACCGUUUACAAAAGGCAUGAAAAUCUACACCGGCGGUCCUAACUUCCAGCACCAAGCUAUCCGAUCAUCCUUACCUAAAGCGACCUGCAAAAAGGACAACGGAGUUGGAUGAGUAACCUAAUGUUACUCAGUGAGCUGGCGGCCUCUACCCGCAACCUAGACUCUAACCCAGACAACCCAAAAUAACAAUCAAUCUAGCCCUAGCAUGCAAUAAAAGCUAGGGCUAAGCAAACCGUUACUAAGUUAGACUUGGCCUCCUGCCAUGAUCUAGCUUCAAGUAACGGGAACCUGCAUAAAAACAAGUCAACAACCAAUCCCUAGUUAACCAUAUAUACGCCUGAGUUCAGUACUCAUGUAGUGUUAGACACUUAGACUAUACAAGUAUCACUAGUCGAUCGACCAACAAUCAAACAAGAACAUGAUCGACCAACCAAUGAUACCGCAUAGCUUUAAUAUCCACCACCCUUCACAAGCAAUCCCUCAAACACAUACAGGCCAACGUCAGGCCUACAAUAACCAAAUACACACCAAGCCUAAUCCGGUACCUAAGCCAGACUUAGGACUUAAUGUCAGAACCUGCAAGCAAAUCAAUCAACCACAAACACAAUCACAAUAAUAAGACUAUGAGUAUCUACGACUCGAUCUAACUCGUAACACCGUAUAUCGGUGUUACGCUAACUCGAGGGUUUCAUAACCCUCUACGACACUCUAACACAACACUCUAACCUGAGCCCUGGUGACUUAGUGUUCCUCCUCUAUCCUCGGCAAUAUCCUAUCUUCCUACCACAAAGGCCAGAAGAAGGAACUUUCAACCGAACGCGGCCCACAGUACGUUCGGGUCACCGCGCGACAGCCCCAGUACGUUCGGGACACUGCCGGUUGUCACACGACGAUUGCGGCCCACAGUACGUUCGGGUCACCGCAAGACAGC